AUUGAGGGGGGCUGCUCCUAGUACGAGAGGACCGGAGUGGACGCAUCACUGGUGUUCGGGUUGUCAUGCCAAUGGCACUGCCCGGUAGCUAAAUGCGGAAGAGAUAAGUGCUGAAAGCAUCUAAGCACGAAACUUGCCCCGAGAUGAGUUCUCCCUGACCCUUUAAGGGUCCUGAAGGAACGUUGAAGACGACGACGUUGAUAGGCCGGGUGUGUAAGCGCAGCGAUGCGUUGAGCUAACCGGUACUAAUGAACCGUGAGGCUUAACCUUACAACGCCGAAG
RNAcentral lists this ribosomal RNA (282 nucleotides) under Escherichia whittamii. Its description in RNAcentral is "Escherichia sp. Sa2BVA5 partial 23S ribosomal RNA". It matches the Rfam family "Bacterial large subunit ribosomal RNA", at positions 2661 to 2925 of the family's 2925-position model. Lineage: Bacteria; Pseudomonadati; Pseudomonadota; Gammaproteobacteria; Enterobacterales; Enterobacteriaceae. The record is from RNAcentral.